GGAGCUUUAGUUUAGUUAAAAUACCUGUGUUGCAAGCAGGAGAUGUGGUUUAGCCGUAGGCUCUG
RNAcentral lists this transfer RNA (65 nucleotides) under Myrrophis chinensis (Chinese water snake). RNAcentral describes it as "tRNA-Ala". It matches the Rfam family "tRNA". From Rfam's summary of the family: Transfer RNA (tRNA) molecules are approximately 80 nucleotides in length. Their secondary structure includes four short double-helical elements and three loops (D, anti-codon, and T loops). The record is from RNAcentral. Lineage: Eukaryota; Metazoa; Chordata; Lepidosauria; Squamata; Homalopsidae.